UAUUUCUAACUUGCAGGUUUGCUAGAAAAGCAUAAAGUGAGGCCACAAGUGGGUGUAAAGCGUAAAAAGGCCGCUCGAUCUCCCAAAGGCAUGAUCCUCUUCGCUGGAGAUCCUAGCUUAUUUGAACCCAGAUCCAGGAACAAUUUGAGCAUGGAGAGGUGUUUGUAUUGUAUUGGAUGAUGGAGGAGAGGUACUCUACUAGCAGGAACAAUGUCCCCUUUUGUACACUCUCUUCAUAAAUCAAUGACUUAACGAAGAAAUCAUCACUAGCGUGAAUAUUCAUUCUUGCUUCGGGUCAGGACGUCCAGUAAUGCUAGGUCUUUAAAUGGUGUCCCAUAGCGCUCUCAAAAGUUAAUUCUCAUGUAUUGGGUUGUUGUAUAGUGAUAGGUUGUUAAUUGUCUGUUA
Molecule: long non-coding RNA, 405 nt
Filed under: Helianthus annuus (common sunflower)
Lineage: Eukaryota; Viridiplantae; Streptophyta; Magnoliopsida; Asterales; Asteraceae
Source: RNAcentral